UGGCCGGUAGCGCAGUGGUUGACGCGCCGCACUCCAAAUGCGGAGGACGCCGGUUCGAGUCCGGCCCGGCCAC
This 73-nucleotide transfer RNA is filed under the name Asanoa ishikariensis. RNAcentral describes it as "tRNA_Trp_CCA". It matches the Rfam family "tRNA". Rfam says of the family: Transfer RNA (tRNA) molecules are approximately 80 nucleotides in length. Their secondary structure includes four short double-helical elements and three loops (D, anti-codon, and T loops). Lineage: Bacteria; Bacillati; Actinomycetota; Actinomycetes; Micromonosporales; Micromonosporaceae. The record is from RNAcentral.